This 253-nucleotide ribosomal RNA is filed under the name uncultured bacterium. RNAcentral describes it as "partial 16S ribosomal RNA". It matches the Rfam family "Bacterial small subunit ribosomal RNA", at positions 524 to 776 of the family's 1533-position model. The record is from RNAcentral.
UACGGGGGGGGCAAGCGUUGUUCGGAAUUACUGGGCGUAAAGGGCUCGUAGGUGGCCAACUAAGUCAGACGUGAAAUCCCCAGGCUUAACCUGGGAACUGCGUCUGAUACUGGAUGGCUUGAAUUCGGGAGAGGGAUGCAGAAUUCCAGGUGUAGCGGUGAAAUGCGUAGAUAUCAGGAGGAACACCGGUGGCGAAGGCGGCCCUCUGGACGGUGACUGACGCUGAGACGCGAAAGCGUGGGGAGCAAACAGG